AUGGGUGUGAAAACAGCAUCCUUUGGAGGAACUGGACUCAGAGAUGCCCCCAGGUGGAGGGCACAUGGUGGGCACAGCCGUUCCCAGGUGCAGGGCGCCCAGUGGGCACGGCCGUCCCAGGUGCAGGGCGCCCGGUGGGCAGAGCCGUCCCCAGGUGCAGGGUGCCCGGUGGGCAGAGCCGUCCCCAGGUGCAGGGCGCCCGGUGGGCACGGCCGUCCCAGGUGCAGGGAGCCCGGUGGGCAGAGCCGUCCCCAGGUGCAGGGCGCCCGGUGGGCACGGCCGUCCCAGGUGCAGGGCGCCCGGUGGGCAGAGCCGUCCCCAGGUGCAGGGCGCCUGGUGGGCAGAGCCGUCCCCAGGUGCAGGGCGCCCGGUGGGCACGGCUGUCCCAGGUGCAGGAAGCCCGGUGGGCAGAGCUGUCCCCAGGUGCAGGGCGCCCGGUGGGCACAGCCGUCCCAGGUGCUGGGCGCCCGGUGGGCAGAGCCGUCCCCAGGUGCAGGGCGCCCGGUGAGCAGAGCCGUCCCCAGGUGCAGGGCGCCCGGUGGGCAGAGCCGUCCCCAGGUGCAGGGCGCCCGGUGGGCAGAGCCGUCCCCAGGUGCAGGGCGCCCGGUGGGCAGAGCCGUCCCCAGGUGCAGGGCGCCCGGUGGGCACGGCCGUCCCCAGGUGCAGGGCGCCCGGUGGGCAGAGCCGUCCCCAGGUGCAGGGCGCCCGGUGGGCACGGCCGUCCCAGGUGCAGGGCGCCCGGUGGGCAGAGCCGUCCCCAGGUGCAGGGCGCCCGGUGGGCAGAGCCGUCCCCAGGUGCAGGGCGCCCGGUGGGCACGGCCGUCCCCAGGUGCAGGGCGCCCGGUGGGCAGAGCCGUCCCCAGGUGCAGGGCGCCCGGUGGGCAUGGCCGUCCCAGGUGCAGGGCGCCCGGUGGGCAGAGCCGUCCCCAGGUGCAGGGUGCCCGGUGGGCAGAGCCGUCCCCAGGUGCAGGGCGCCCGGUGGGCACGGCCGUCCCAGGUGCAGGGAGCCCGGUGGGCAGAGCCGUCCCCAGGUGCAGGGCGCCCGGUGGGCACGGCCGUCCCAGGUGCAGGGCGCCCGGUGGGCAGAGCCGUCCCCAGGUGCAGGGCGCCCGGUGGGCACGGCCGUCCCAGGUGCAGGGCGCCCGGUGGGCAGAGCCGUCCCCAGGUGCAGGGCGCCCGGUGGGCAGAGCCGUCCCCAGGUGCAGGGCGCCCGGUGGGCACGGCUGUCCCAGGUGCAGGGAGCCCGGUGGGCAGAGCCGUCCCCAGGUGCAGGGCGCCCGGUGGGCACAGCCGUCCCAGGUGCAGGGCGCCCGGUGGGCAGAGCGGUCCCCAGGUGCAGGGCGCCCGGUGGGCAGAGCCGUCCCCAGGUGCAGGGCGCCCGGUGGGCAGAGCCGUCCCCAGGUGCAGGGCGCCCGGUGGGCACGGCCGUCCCCAGGUGCAGGGCGCCCGGUGGGCAGAGCCGUCCCCAGGUGCAGGGCGCCCGGUGGGCAGAGCCGUCCCCAGGUGCAGGGCGCCCGGUGGGCAGAGCCGUCCCCAAGUGCAGGGCGCCCGGUGGGCACGGCCGUCCCCAGGUGCAGGGCGCCCGGUGGGCAGAGCCGUCCCCAGGUGCAGGGCGCCCGGGGCACCCGCACCAGGAGGGACACAGGAGUCCAGGGAACGGGGUGCAAAGUGGGAGCCCCCUGA
RNAcentral lists this long non-coding RNA (1683 nucleotides) under Canis lupus familiaris (dog). RNAcentral describes it as "lncRNA (ENSCAFG00040009178.1)". Lineage: Eukaryota; Metazoa; Chordata; Mammalia; Carnivora; Canidae. The record is from RNAcentral.